Long non-coding RNA from Cygnus olor (mute swan), 1310 nucleotides. RefSeq lists it as uncharacterized. NCBI's taxonomy places the organism in Eukaryota, Metazoa, Chordata, Aves, Anseriformes, Anatidae. The transcript is spliced from 2 exons. The record is from RefSeq and is a predicted model, not a curated record.
CAUGAAUACUAGAUCUUUGAAUGGAUCCUAAACUGCUUGCUUUGGCUUUGCUUCUUCCUCUCAGUACUGAGCUGUACAUACAGAUUGAAAGUGAGAAACUGGUAAAUACAGUAUCUAGUUUCAUUGUAACCCCUUCCUGAUUGAUGACAUGCCUUCUCCCAAGAUCCAGCAUUAUAGUGCAAAACAAUUGGUAUAACCUGAAGCUAAAACUGCUCCUUGGAGGUCUGCUUCUUUUCUAGGGAAAUAUGGUUUUCAUUAAUACCAAUGUUCAGAUUCAGGAAAAAAAAAUGUGCCUGAGAUAGUGUAUUAUACUCAGAACUUUAAGCUAUUGCUCUUCUUAAUGGUACUAAUCUGUUUUCCUACAGAGAACCAAGUGAAUUUGUUACCUGUCAUUGCAUCCCCAUGUUCAUCUCUUAAUACUUGUGGGUGUGAUACAAACCACCUAAAAGAAAUUCACUGCCUCUUUUACUGCCCAGACAAGGCUGUUUUCUGUGUUCCACCAAUACAAUUUUCCUGUUGCACAUUUUGGUUUGGUUAGUGAGACUUUAAUCAAGAAAAAAAUUCUAAUGAACAGCAAUUUGAAACAGAGCAUUUGGAAAGGUCAAAAUGGUACGCUACAUCCUUAUUAUCCAAAAGAACAGAUGAGUUUAAUAUCCUGGCAGCGUUUUCCUGUGAAGAAGAUAUUAAACAAGAGCUGAAAAUGGCACAAGGUUCCCUCUUCCUUUCUUGUGACAAAGAUUGUAACAAAUGAUGAAACUGUACAGAAUAAAUCUCAUCCUGCUUUAAUGUUCAGACUGGGGAUCCUGCCUAGAUUUCAAAAGCCUAAGCUAACCAAACAGACAACACACAUGGUAUUUGUUUCAGGUGUAUCCACAUGAAGCAGAAGUCUUUUAAAAUACUUUUUCCUACUUACAUGACCUGAUUUCCAUCAAUAUUUUCUAGUCUUAAAAAUGGGAAGAAAUGGUAACAGAAGGUACACAGUGCAGUGAGUUUCAAAAAGCAGUGUUGAACUGCAACAAAUAACGUACUGCAUCAGCCCUGCUUAAAAUGUAGAGUUGUCAUCUUCAGUUUGAAUAGACUGCAGAAUACAAACAAUGUAUUCCAGCACACAAUGCAUUGUAAGUGUUCUGCUUUGGAGAGUCCCUGAAGGUAUGGAAAUGUUUGAAGGCAAAGGAAUUUGCAGUAUAUCCCAUAGGUUGUUAGCAAUUUGAUUAAUACAAGGAGCUGUCACUAUGUGCUUCCUUAAAUCUUUAAAUUGGUCUUCAUGUUAAAUCUUAUUUUUACAACUGAAAAAAUGCUUUGCUUAAAGA